This 254-nucleotide ribosomal RNA is filed under the name uncultured bacterium. Its description in RNAcentral is "partial 16S ribosomal RNA". It matches the Rfam family "Bacterial small subunit ribosomal RNA", at positions 524 to 776 of the family's 1533-position model. The record is from RNAcentral.
UACGGGGGGAGCAAGCGUUGUUCGGAUUUACUGGGCGUAAAGGGCGCGUAGGCGGUCAGCACAAGUCAGUUGUGAAAUCUCCGGGCUUAACUCGGAAAGGUCAACUGAUACUGUGCGGCUAGAGUGCGGAAGGGGCAACUGGAAUUCUCGGUGUAGCGGUGAAAUGCGUAGAUAUCGAGAGGAACACCUGCGGCGAAGGCGGGUUGCUGGGCCGACACUGACGCUGAUGCGCGAAAGCGUGGGGAGCGAACAGG